RNAcentral lists this small nucleolar RNA (82 nucleotides) under Tupaia belangeri chinensis (Chinese tree shrew). Its description in RNAcentral is "Tupaia chinensis (Chinese tree shrew) Small nucleolar RNA U3". It matches the Rfam family "Small nucleolar RNA U3", at positions 1 to 83 of the family's 219-position model. Rfam says of the family: Small nucleolar RNAs (snoRNAs) are involved in the processing and modification of rRNA in the nucleolus. There are two main classes of snoRNAs: the box C/D class, and the box H/ACA class. The record is from Rfam by way of RNAcentral. Lineage: Eukaryota; Metazoa; Chordata; Mammalia; Scandentia; Tupaiidae.
AAGACUAUACUUUCAGAGAUCAUUUUUAUAGUUCAUUACUAGAGAAGUUUUUCUGAAUGUGUACAGCACUUUUAAGCACAGU